GUCAGGGUUGAUUUCAGGGUCACGAACUCGAUAUUUUCGAGAACGACACUCUAACCCCGUAUCUUAGUUCGAUGGAAUUCGGGAUGACCAUCAACCCAUCGUAUUUCUAUCCCGAUCUGCAGUGUAAUAAACGAGCCUGAUUUUGACCGUCUACGAUCAUUUUUUCCUAAAAUAAAAUAAAGAAACGAAAUCGGAAUAUACGAAGGAAAGCGAAAAAGAAAAUGCUAA
This 228-nucleotide long non-coding RNA is filed under the name Nicotiana benthamiana. RNAcentral describes it as "long non-coding RNA (NBEN_LNC037679)". The record is from RNAcentral. Lineage: Eukaryota; Viridiplantae; Streptophyta; Magnoliopsida; Solanales; Solanaceae.